This 466-nucleotide long non-coding RNA is filed under the name Durio zibethinus. RNAcentral's name for it is "long non-coding RNA (DZIB_LNC001095)". The record is from RNAcentral. Lineage: Eukaryota; Viridiplantae; Streptophyta; Magnoliopsida; Malvales; Malvaceae.
AGGCCAAUAAUCCAGUUCACGUAGCCUCAAUUUCCCAAUGCCAUUGAGGUAAAAUCUUUCCCACAAACUUAAGUCCAUUUGGCCUGACGGUGCUGUGAGUGCAUAGCCUAUGGUUUCACCGCAAUCUAAUUGCAUCUUUGAAAGCAGAGGGUAGAGUGCAAGACAGCUCAAUCCGAAUGCACGUUCAGAUGGCUUGUGGCGUCCCCUGCAAUCCCCUUCCACUCUUAUUCUAAUCUCUUCCAAAUUGGGACAGUCAUCAAGACCUACCGUUGCCAAUGGAUUGAGAAGCUCACCAACACCAAUCCAAAGAGAAAGGUAUUGCAACUUGUCCCAUUUCUUGAACCAAAAUGCAUCGACGGCAUUCCUUUCCAUAACGUUAUUAUCACACAAGUCAAUGGAGUACUUGCAUUUCUUCCUGCUUAUGUCUUGAUCAUACUCACAUCCAGGAAAGUUGGAUAAACCGGAU